RNAcentral lists this ribosomal RNA (434 nucleotides) under uncultured bacterium. RNAcentral describes it as "bacterial SSU rRNA". It matches the Rfam family "Bacterial small subunit ribosomal RNA", at positions 29 to 506 of the family's 1533-position model. The record is from RNAcentral.
GUGAACGCUAGCGGUGCGCCUAACACAUGCAAGUCGCGCGGCCCGCAAGGGCAGCGGCGAACGGCUGCGUAACACGUUGGUACCUACCCCGCACUCAGGGAUAACCUGCCGAAAGGCGGGCUAAUACCGGAUAGUUCCCGUGAGGGUAAAGCUUCGGCGGUGCGGGAGGGGCCUGCGGCCUAUCAGUUUGUUGGCAGGGUAACGGCCUACCAAGACUAUGACGGGUAGCUGGUCUGAGAGGACGACCAGCCAGAAUGGGACUGCGACACGGCCCAUACUCCUACGGGAGGCAGCAGUGAGGAAUCUUCCGCAAUGGGCGAAAGCCUGACGGAGCGACACCGCGUGAAGGAUGAAGCCCUUUCUGGGUGUAAACUUCUGUUCUGAGGGACGAAAUUUUUGACGGUACCUCAGGAGAAAGCACCGGCUAAUUCUGU